Molecule: ribosomal RNA, 346 nt
Filed under: uncultured bacterium
Lineage: Bacteria
Description: bacterial SSU rRNA
Rfam family: Bacterial small subunit ribosomal RNA
Source: RNAcentral
GGGCCCGCACAAGCGGUGGAGCAUGUGGUUUAAUUCGAUGAUACGCGAGGAACCUUACCAGGGUUUAAAUGCAGAACGACAGGGGUGGAAACACCCCCUUCUUCGGACGGACUGCAAGGUGCUGCAUGGUUGUCGUCAGCUCGUGCUGUGAAGUGUCGGGUUAAGUCCCAUAACGAGCGCAACCCCCAUUUCUAGUUGCCAGCGGUUCGGCCGGGGACUCUAGAGAAACUGCCAGCGUAAGCUGUGAGGAAGGUGGGGGAUGGACGUCAAAUCAUCACGGCCCUUGACAUCCUGGGCCACACACGUGCUACAAUGGUGGGACAACAGGUUGCCAACCCGCGAGGGU